This 301-nucleotide ribosomal RNA is filed under the name uncultured bacterium. Its description in RNAcentral is "partial 16S ribosomal RNA". It matches the Rfam family "Bacterial small subunit ribosomal RNA", at positions 509 to 807 of the family's 1533-position model. The record is from RNAcentral.
CAUUCGCCGCGGGAAUACGUAGGUGGCAAGCGUUGUCCGGAAUUAUUGGGCGUAAAGGGCUCGCAGGCGGUUUCUUAAGUCUGAUGUGAAAGCCCCCGGCUCAACCGGGGAGGGUCAUUGGAAACUGGGAAACUUGAGUGCAGAAGAGGAGAGUGGAAUUCCAUGUGUAGCGGUGAAAUGCGUAGAUAUAUGGAGGAACACCGGUGGCGAAAGCGGCUCUCUGGUCUGUAACUGACGCUGAGGCUCGAAAGCGUGGGGAGCAAACAGGAUUAGAGACCCGUGUAGUCCCUGUCUCUUAUAC